RNAcentral lists this long non-coding RNA (1971 nucleotides) under Coturnix japonica (Japanese quail). Its description in RNAcentral is "lncRNA (ENSCJPG00005010384.1)". The record is from RNAcentral. Lineage: Eukaryota; Metazoa; Chordata; Aves; Galliformes; Phasianidae.
AUGGAAGCCGUUAUCAAGGUAAUUCUUCACGCUUGUAAACUUCACUGUGGGAAACAGGCUCCUUCCAAAAGGGAGGUAACAGCAGUUCUCUUGCUGUUGGAGAAGGAAGGGCUUUUAACAACCCUGUCUGAUUUAUACAAUCCUGGCAGAUGGGAUGAAAUUACGGCCGCGUUAUCUCAGAGGUCGCUGGCCACUCGGAAAGUGUCGGAAUUCAAAGUAUGGGGAUUUAUCCUAGAAGCGCUGAAAGCAGCGCGGGAGGAGAAGCUAGCGAACCAACAUGCUAGAGAAAUACUGGGUUUGGAAACGGGGGGAGGCCGCGAGGGGGGUCUUGUCUCUCCUGCAGAUUCAGUGGAAGACAAGAUGGCGCCGGCUACCCCGGCCACACCUGUUGCUUCACCUUCGGAGAAGAAGAGGGACAUUCCAGAAGACCGCCCUGAACAGGAUGACACCCUGCCUCCACCCCCCUAUCCUGACUCCUUGUAUCCUUCAUUGGACGCUUACAGAGAUGAAGGGAGGGGGAAGCCCCCUGAGGAAUGUGGUGUUGCUUGCAUACUUGAUAAGAACAAGGACAAGGAGGGGGCGGGAGAGCCAAAGGGGGGAGGCGUGGUGGUGCCACCAGAGCUGAAAGGGGGAGGCGUGGUGCCACUGGUGAGAAGUGUAGGGGCGGGUGGUACUUCCUUGCUGUCGGGUCCGGCUUGUUGCUGUGUGUACGCCCAGAAAGGGAUGGAUCGUGCCGCCCCGUAUGAUAGUGAAAGUGAAUGUGGGGGUGGUGAUUCAAUGUGGGACGCCCAAAGGCCCACCCAAGGGAGAUGUGGCCCCAUGGCACCCGUCCCGUGGAGCCCGCCCACUCUCACUGAUUGGGCCCAAACAAGGGAGGACCUCUGGAUAGCUGACCCGGAAAUAACAGCUUUUCGUCUGCCGAUAGUUGUGAAGCAGCAUGGUCCGGCUUGGACCCCUCUGGAUUCCAAGGCGAUUACUCGCCUUGCAGAGUUAGUUAAGAACAAGGGCCUGCGUUCUCCGGUGACUAUGUCAGCAGUUGAGGCUCUUAUGGCCUCAAGACUCCUGCCGUAUGAUGUGGUCAGUCUCAUGAGGGUGAUUCUUGAGCCCGUGCAGUACACGUUGUGGUAUGAUGAAUGGAAUAGACUACUUCAGGCUGUUGUAGCUGAAGCAACUCGUGAUAACAAUCAUCCGGCUAAUGCACGUACAGGUCAAGGCCGUGUGGCUAGGGUUGAAAGAACUACUCUCUUGCGCCUUCAGGGACUAGCAGAUGGUAUGGUGGGGUCCCCGGAGGGUCAAGCAAGAGGGCUGAGAGCGGGGGAGUUAGCUGCGCUUACAAAGGCAGCCCUUCAGGCUCUGAGGACGGUGGCUAAGAUUGUGGAGCCUGUGCUCCCGUGGUCUGACAUCAAACAGGAGCCCUCUGAGUCGUUUUCUGAUUUUGCAAAUCGCUUGAUUCAUGCCAUUGAAGGGUCUGACCUCCCCAGGGAGGUCCAGCCUUUGGUUGUGAUAGAUUGUCUCAAGCAAAAGUCUCUCCUGGACGUUCAGCAGAUAAUUAGGGCAGCACCUGGGACUCUGAACACCCCAGGGGAGAUUAUUAAAUAUGUGCUAGAUCAUCAGAAGAAUACGCCCUCACAUAAUGACAGCUUGGCAACUGCCGUGCAGGGAAUGGCUGCUUCAGUGCAAGGGAUGGCUGCUUCGGUUAGCUCUGCAAUCAGAUCUGCAGUGAUGAUGGCAGCUCGCACCGGGGAUGAGAAGGGAAAAGGUCCGUGUUUCAAGUGUGGGCAGCAUGGUCAUUUUAAAGCACAAUGCCCUGAGAGAGCUGGGCAGAGUGGGUCACAGGGUCUGGGGGAGCCUUGUCAAUUGUGUGGUUGGGCUGGACAUGAUGCACAUCAGUGUCAAAAAUAUGAGGUUUCACCGCAGGGAAACUGGUACGGGAGGGUGCCAAUGGCCCAGGUCUCCUUCCCACUCUUUUAA